GCCGGGGUAGCAAAGCGGCCUACUGCGCGGGCCUUGAGAGCCUGUGACCCUUCCGGGUCUCGUGGGUUCAAAUCCCACUCCCGGCG
Molecule: transfer RNA, 86 nt
Filed under: Nitrososphaerota archaeon
Lineage: Archaea; Thermoproteati; Nitrososphaerota
Description: Thaumarchaeota archaeon tRNA-Ser
Rfam family: tRNA
About the family: Transfer RNA (tRNA) molecules are approximately 80 nucleotides in length.
Source: RNAcentral